This 253-nucleotide ribosomal RNA is filed under the name uncultured bacterium. RNAcentral describes it as "partial 16S ribosomal RNA". It matches the Rfam family "Bacterial small subunit ribosomal RNA", at positions 524 to 776 of the family's 1533-position model. The record is from RNAcentral.
UACGAAGGGGGCUAGCGUUGCUCGGAAUCACUGGGCGUAAAGCGCACGUAGGCGGAUUGCUAAGUCAGGGGUGAAAUCCUGGAGCUCAACUCCAGAACUGCCUUUGACACUGGCGACCUUGAGUCCGGGAGAGGUGAGUGGAACUGCGAGUGUAGAGGUGAAAUUCGUAGAUAUUCGCAAGAACACCAGUGGCGAAGGCGGCUCACUGGCCCGGUACUGACGCUGAGGUGCGAAAGCGUGGGGAGCAAACAGG